AAAUUAACCAGGCUAAAAAAAUGUAUUGUAAAAUUACAGUCAAUAAACAACAGUAAAUAAGCAGAAUGUAUAUAUUAGAUAUGUAGAGCAAUUCAGUGAACUUUUAUUGAACUUGAGCUGCCUCUAAGCAACAUUACUUAACAGUAGGUAGACAGUUAUGCAGACAUGCUACUUAAAAACAGUCUCAACAAGUUUAUCAAGGAAAAUGUCCAUACUAAUCAGCACUAAGGCAUUGCUGCUCGUCAGUAAGAACAUUUUAAUCAAGCGUGCACUAAGUGGGUGGGUUUCAUUUUAAUUACUCCAAUAAAGGCAAUGGAAUGGAGCACAUGGGCAUAAUGAAUGGAAAUGUAGCCUGCAUUAAGAACAACAGAGUGGGAAAUAAACAAAGGCAGAGAUACUAAUGGGAGAAAUGGUUAGUGUCUUUAGUUUUUAGUUUAAUUAAUGUAAAUAUAGUGUUAAUUGUUGCCAUCAUGCCAUCAGAUCCUAGAGAAGAACAAGAGAGAUGAUGGCCUCUUGUCAAAGCUUUUCCUCACUUGAUCAGCCUGCUCUCUCAUCUAAAUCCACGCCUGUAUUUUGCACUGAUCUUGAUUCCUAACCUGUGUACGCUGUCAGCUGAACUCUCCUCUCACCUGCUGUGCUGAGCUCUGACAGAUCCAGGCAGAACACAACACCAGCGCUAUUCUGGGUGUGAUGUCUUGAGAUGGGAGCAACACUCUCACAGUGCACAUUCAGGAGUUUGUUUAAAGGUAUUGCCGGAUAUCACGAAGGGAUUUUCAAACAGAUCCAAAUGCAUGUGGGCCUCAGCGCACUCCUGAAAACUACAUUUCUGCAGUAGACCAUUUACAGUCUAAGGGACAACAAAACAUUGAAGCAACGGGUGAAUCAGAGCUAAACAUUUCAAACAUCAGCAAUGACAUUGAUGCUGUAUUACCUGACCUCCCAAUCACAACAAAAAAAUCUCUUGAGGACACUGUAAAAUCACUUGGAGUGGAGACCCCGAGAUUUCAGAUUUCUUAAGGAAUCAGAUCUGGCAGCUGUACUGAGGCCCAUUCAAGCCAGGAAAUUUAUUUCUGUUCUAAAGGAGACCACACAAAUUUCCGAAAACCCACAGCAAACAGUCUGCUCCGGGAUCUUUUCUGUCCCAGAGUUCUUCAUGCUCAUCUCCCAACACCUCCCCUCCUAGUGUGAACUGGGUGGACAGCUUUGAAGUCCCAUGGAAUAAGUUUCCUGAGGAAUUAAUGCAGGCACUUGAGAGACAGAAAAGACCAAUUCCUCGGUUGUGUAGGGAAAUGGUGAGGAUUGUUGUUGCGGCAAUUAUGAAAGUUUGUACUUGUCCAAGUAGGAUGAAAUUAACGGAGGUCGCCAAAAGGAUGGUUGCUAAAUAUCCAAAGUCUUUGCAAGAUGUGAUUGAAGAGAGUGUGAUUGGUCCUGGAUACUACUCCUUGGUCAAACUAUUUCAAGCCAGAGUCGAAGAUGCAGGAAGGACCAGCACACCAAAAAUAAAAAAGCGCAUUCAUGAUGCAAAGCAAUGUGACACUGAGGAAGUCACACCUGAAAAAAGAGCUGCAGUUCAGGAUACAUACUAUACGGCUGCAUCAAUUGGGAACUUCGAUUUAUGCCCCUCAGUGAAACUGUUGAGAGUCAGCAGUUGAAAAAGAGAAGAUGAGGAGUCUGUCACAAACAAAUGACUGGAAUGAAGAGGAAGUGAAGGUUCUCAUGAAGUCUACAUACUACAGUCAACGAAAAGAUAUCAACAAAGGAACAGAAAUGAAAAUUCUCACUGAUGACUGGCCAUUUUUGUUUCAGGAAAGUGGAAUGGAAGUGCACUUUAAAGACCUCACAGGGAUACCACUUAAAGAGACCUUCCUGAACAGCACAGACGGAAAAGGAAAUAGGCUGUUGAACUUCAUGAGUACUGUUUGUGCAACCAAGAACAAGUCUUACAGGCUAUCACAAAAUUACAAGUUUUGAGAGGACAGACAAAUGGUUGCUCUGAGGAUGUGAAAGACAUGAUUCUUCUACUUAUCUCCUAUUUUAAUAAGAAAGAGGAGCUUCUUCUUCAUUAUGUAGAACAGACAAGUCUCGCAAAGGAUGUAGAGUUGGAAAACCUGCCUGUGACGCCUUGCAUUAUUGUGUGCGGACGCUCCUGCUAUGCUGCUGUUUGAUUCAUGCUCAGUCUGGACCGCAAGAUUGUGAACGAUGACAUCACUACUCUCAUCGCUGCUGUUUGCCUAAUGUUUGGCAGUUACUGCUGUUUCAACAUUCAAUACCCUUCUGAACUGCCGUCAGUGCUUGAAUUCCCGCACAGGUAUGUAAAGACAUCAAGGUGUUUUUUCAACAUCAAUCCCGAAAAGGGCACAAAAGUUGUGGAAAA
This is a long non-coding RNA of Tachysurus fulvidraco (yellow catfish), 2374 nucleotides long. RefSeq lists it as uncharacterized. The transcript has 6 exons. The record is from RefSeq and is a predicted model, not a curated record. NCBI's taxonomy places the organism in Eukaryota, Metazoa, Chordata, Actinopteri, Siluriformes, Bagridae.